Amborella trichopoda is the source of this 2253-nucleotide RNA transcript. It is a transcript of the gene named biogenesis of lysosome-related organelles complex 1 subunit 1, with no coding region annotated. The record is from RefSeq and is a predicted model, not a curated record. Lineage: Eukaryota; Viridiplantae; Streptophyta; Magnoliopsida; Amborellales; Amborellaceae.
AAACCACAGAUGUUAUUUAAAUUUGACAAAUAUGCCAUUCACUAAAAAGGGGGGAAAUGGAGAAGAAAGGAGGCGCAGAGAGUGGGAAUUUAGAACAGGCCUUAGUCCAUUUGGUGCACGAAUACAACCACAAGACCCUUUUUAUCAGAGAAAAAACAGAGAAUGCUAAGAAAGAUGCUUUGAGGAGUGGGCUUCAUGUUUCGGGACUUCUGGUUGAUAGUGUUAAUGGUGGGGUGCAAGAAUCCUUUAUAAAUGAGAAACGAAUUGAAUUUGAGACACGUGCAUUGGCGAGUACUAUCAUGCGCUAUACAAAGCAAACAAAUCAGUGGCUUGCUGCUUCCCAUGCUAUCAACUCUGCGAUAAAGGUGAUAUCUCUUCUGAUUUGUCAAAAACAAAAGGAGAUUGGAGACUUUGAAAAUUGGAUGAAGACCAUGGAUUAUGAUUGCAAAAGCAUCAGUGCUUCUCUGUGCAACAUCAGCAAAACAAGACAUUGAAGACCAGGCAAUUUUUAUUCAUUUCGUCAACAGCCAACAGCAUACCCAAAGAAACUGGAGGAAUGCCCGGAGACAAAAGCAAUGUUAUCUUUUAUUUGUGCGUCAAUGAUUUUCGAAACUCAUAGAAGAGCUUCGGUUUUUGUGCAUAAUUAAAGUGCGAGUAGUUGCAUGCGAAGCUAUAACGAAGAAACAGAAUUCAUACAAGCCAGGAUAUGAAGAAAUGAAUAUGGCCUUCGUACUGAAUUCUGUGGAUUAAAGAUCUAUUUAAUAGUGAAAGCACCAAAAAGAUCAAAGAUUGUGGUUUUGGGCUGGUACAAUAAGAUUUGCUCACUUAUGCCAAGAUACAAGAUAAAAGAUCGGAAUCAACGUAUGUAAUAUAGCUCUAUCCACAAGGUGCUGAAUAGCAGUGUGGCUUUUGAACAAUGAAGUUCACUAGUGGAUGCCAAAGAAGGUAAGAAGGUGACUUGUGCUACCGUUAAUUUGCUGGGGAGUAUGACAAGAAGUUGUUUGGUAUGAGAUCUCAUCAAUCUGAAGGUAUGUUUGAAAAUGAGGAUUGAAGUUUUCCGUACCCUAAAUGGGGAAAAACUUUCAUGGAUCCCGAAGUACUGUGUUAUCAUCAUAGAGUAGAAGUCAAUGAAGCAGACAUCUACAAGUUUGCUUAAGAAGGUGCAGACAUUAAAACAUGCUCAAACAGUGUUAGUGCAAAGGUGAAAAAGAAUAAGGUAGAUCUCCACAAGACAAGGAGUCUUUAAGCCCCAGUUAGUGCACCCACUUUGUUACUAGCCUAACGGAAUGCCGAAAAACGAGAAUUAGCAUCCUACUAUUAAUGAUUGUUCCUCCAUCACAACGACGGGUCUAGGCAGGUAAGGUAAUUCUCUAUGUGCCUCCAUCACCCUUCACCAUUAAAAUAUCUGAGAGAGGCUGCAACAAUCUUGACAUCCUCUUGCUCUUAAGAGCCAGAUAAGGCCAAAUUUUAAAUCUCUGAAAAUGUUAGCUUAAUGUGGCCUUUAGAUUGGCGUCAUUAGAUUGACUGUGACUACGUACCUGCAUUUGUCAUAAAUCAGUCUUUUAUAUGCACACAGAUCAGGUGCAAUGCAACAUCUUGUGGAACGCAUGGAUAAGACCUAGGUGGAAACUGAAUUUUUGAUGGUAUCAAGAUCGCAUUUGAAUUAAAUUUAAUCAGAAUCAGCCAUAGACAUCUGGAUAGAUCAUGUAUCUACAUAAUAACAUAAAAUAAGUACUUGUGGUUCGAGAAAGGCGGAGCAGAACCUGCCCCAUGCAUGAGUAUGAUGAAAAUCAAAUAAUGCAACAAACAACAAUGAAAGAUUUCUAUUUGGAGAAAUAGGAAAGGUAGGGAAGACUUCCUUUUGCUAGCACACAACUUUUGAAGAUUUUUCAUGGUUGAAUCAUUGCAAGAAAAGAAGUAUCAGAGAUUCAAAGAUUCAAGACAAUACUAUGCAAAUGGGACCACUUGAUACCAAAUCUUCCAAUCCACAUACUGCUAAACUGUAAGAAGAAGCCAAAACAAGGGGAGGCUGUCCUGAAAGCUUGGUUUAGAACGUGGCAGCCAUAGGUGUUCAAAGUUCUUUGGCAACUUUGUUGAUACUUGCGGAGUGUGUCCUGCAAAAUGCGCAUGCGCUUGUCGCACACCAUCACCUUCCAAUCUUUUAAUGGGUCGGUUGUAGCAGUUUUGAUUGCUCGUUUUCCGUGACAUGUCAUUGGAUGCUGGAAACGAUUCGGUAGGCUUGUUGGACCAAAC